This 72-nucleotide transfer RNA is filed under the name Candidatus Uabimicrobium amorphum. RNAcentral's name for it is "Uabimicrobium amorphum tRNA". It matches the Rfam family "tRNA". From Rfam's summary of the family: Transfer RNA (tRNA) molecules are approximately 80 nucleotides in length. Their secondary structure includes four short double-helical elements and three loops (D, anti-codon, and T loops). The record is from Rfam by way of RNAcentral. Lineage: Bacteria; Pseudomonadati; Planctomycetota; Candidatus Uabimicrobiia; Candidatus Uabimicrobiales; Candidatus Uabimicrobiaceae.
GGGGAUGCACUCUAUCGGGAGAGCGCCUGUUUUGCAUGCAGGAGGCCGCAGGUUCGACCCCUGUCAUCUCCA